Molecule: ribosomal RNA, 341 nt
Filed under: uncultured Pseudomonadota bacterium
Lineage: Bacteria; Pseudomonadati; Pseudomonadota
Description: bacterial SSU rRNA
Rfam family: Bacterial small subunit ribosomal RNA
Source: RNAcentral
AACGAACGCUGGCGGCGUGCCUAACACAUGCAAGUCGUACGAGAAAUCUGGAGCAAUCUGGAGAGUACAGUGGCGCACGGGUGAGUAACGCGUGGGUAACCUACCCUUGGGUUGGGGAUAACUCCUCGAAAGGGGUGCUAAUACCGGAUGACAUUUCGAUCUCCUCGGAGAUUGAAAUCAAAGGUGGCCUCUGCAUGCAAGCUACUGCCCGGGGAUGGGCCCGCGUACCAUUAGCUAGUUGGUAGGGUAACGGCCUACCAAGGCUGCGAUGGUUAGCUGGUCUGAGAGGAUGGCCAGCCACACUGGAACUGAGACACGGUCCAGACUCCUACGGGAGGCAG